CCCUUAGAUGUCCUGGGCCGCACGCGCGCUACACUGAGUGUCUGAGAUACGAGUCUGCCUAGCCGGCGAGGUCUAGGUAAUCGCUGAAAGACACAUCAUGCUUGGGAUAGAUUAUUGCAGAUAUUAAUCUUGAACGAGGAAUUCCUAGUAAGCGCAAGUCAACAGCUUGCGUUGAUUACGUCCCUGCCCUUUGUACACACCGCCCGUCGCUACUACUGAUUGGAUGUUAAAGCGAGGUUCUCGAACUGCUAGCGACUUAGCUUCGGUGAGGUCGCCGUGCGGGAAGUGAACCGAGCUUUGGUGUCUAGAGGAAGUAAAAGUCGUAUCA
Molecule: ribosomal RNA, 328 nt
Filed under: uncultured eukaryote
Lineage: Eukaryota
Description: partial 18S ribosomal RNA
Rfam family: Eukaryotic small subunit ribosomal RNA
Source: RNAcentral